CCUACGGGAUGCAGCAGUGGGGAAUAUUGGACAAUGGGCGAAAGCCUGAUCCAGCAAUGCCGCGUGUGUGAAGAAGGUCUUCGGAUUGUAAAGCACUUUCGACGGGGACGAUGAUGACGGUACCCGUAGAAGAAGCCCCGGCUAACUUCGUGCCAGCAGCCGCGGUAAUACGAAGGGGGCUAGCGUUGCUCGGAAUGACUGGGCGUAAAGGGCGCGUAGGCGGUUUAUGCAGUCAGAUGUGAAAUCCCCGGGCUUAAUCUGGGACCUGCAUUUGAGACGCAUAGACUAGAGGUCGAGAGAGGGGUGUGGAAUUCCCGGUGUAGAGGUGAAGUGCGUAGAUAUUGGGAAGAACACCGGUGGCGAAGGCGGCAACCUGGCUCGAUACUGACGCUGAGGCGCGAAAGCGUGGGGAGCAAACAGGAUUAGAUACCCGGGUAGUC
Molecule: ribosomal RNA, 440 nt
Filed under: uncultured bacterium
Lineage: Bacteria
Description: bacterial SSU rRNA
Rfam family: Bacterial small subunit ribosomal RNA
Source: RNAcentral